Long non-coding RNA from Centruroides sculpturatus (bark scorpion), 1115 nucleotides. RefSeq lists it as uncharacterized. The transcript has 3 exons. NCBI's taxonomy places the organism in Eukaryota, Metazoa, Arthropoda, Arachnida, Scorpiones, Buthidae. The record is from RefSeq and is a predicted model, not a curated record.
GCGUUUUUUAACGUUUGUUCGAAAUACGUCACACAUGACGAAUCGCAGUUCGAUUGUGUUUCUCGUUGCUGUCGGACGUGCUUUUCUUUCGCUCUUGGAUUGCGUGCUGUUUUCUGCGGUUUCGUGCCUUUUACAGAGAAGAUUGAAGAUUUUUUAGGAUGAAGACGUUGGUGCGUUGUUGGAGGCGGUUCCGGCGGAGGCAGGCGGUGGCGCCGGAGGGAGAGGGUUCCUCGGACGACGCGGAACGAGUCUGUCGUUCCGUGCCGUUGGAGGAGCGGGGGCUCGACGAGCGACAGGCAGCGGGUGAAGAAGACCUUCGCCAAGUGCGCGUGGCGUGGCAUCCUCCCGGAGUCGGGAUGAUGCGACGCUACACCCUGGGUCCAGUGCGCUUGGCCGAGGUCUUCGGGGGUCAUCCGGCCACAGACCUUGCUGUGGAGGAUGUCGAAAGUGACAGCUCGUCCGAGCUGACACUUUCUGUUUGGUCGUGUUCUGCCCGUUCGUCCGCGACGGCGACGCCACCGCCUUGCCGAAGUCGGGACGGGGAGGAGUCGGAGGAGAGAGCCCCCGAAGUUGAGGGACCGUGCUGUCCGUGGUUUUGUUGCUGCGGACGGCUGCGGUUGCCUUGGCCUAGGCGGUGAUCUUCUUCGACUUCCUCUUCUUCACCCGGAUGCGACUUUCUUACCGGAUUCGACACUUUUCACCCGGACAUGACAUCUUUUAACGGACGUGACCUCUUUUACCCGGACGUGACCCACGGACUUGACACGUUUCUUCACCGGACGCGACAUAUGGCCGACCUUUCUUCUCAAACAGCUGUUAUGAGGAUUGAGCUUUCGGUUAGGGUUCGUUAGCUUAGCCUUGGCUAGGUCAGGUCCUUCGCUCUUCUGAUAACACUGUUCGGGAAGAAAGGCUGUCUGUUUAAGGUAAUAAUAUUGACCUUAAGUAAUAAAUGAAUAAACUUCUUGUUUUCUCACUGCGUUUGUGUUUUGUAGGAACAUUUGGGAGGGAGAAGGAUCUCCCUCCCCAACUUUACCACGAAGAGGACCAAGUGGCCAUUUACCGUACAAGUGAAUAUUUUCCGAUGACAUGCCGAAGAUGUUCUUCGAUCACACACA